This 397-nucleotide ribosomal RNA is filed under the name uncultured bacterium. RNAcentral's name for it is "partial 16S ribosomal RNA". It matches the Rfam family "Bacterial small subunit ribosomal RNA", at positions 523 to 918 of the family's 1533-position model. The record is from RNAcentral.
AUACGUAGGUGACAAGCGUUAUCCGGAUUUACUGGGCGUAAAGGGCGUGUAGGCGGUCUUGCAAGUCAGAAGUGAAAUUCCUGAGCUCAACUCGGGCGCUGCUUCUGAAACUGCAGGACUUGAGUGCUGGAGGGGAUAGCGGAAUUCCUAGUGGAGCGGUAAAAUGCGCAGAUAUUAGGAAGAACACCGCUGGCGAGGGCGGUUAUCUGGACAGUAACUGACGCUGAGGCGCGAAAGCGUGGGGAGCAAACAGGAUUAGAGACCCUGGAAGUCCGCGCCGUAAACGAUGAUUACUCGGUGUAGGGGGUAUCGACUCCCUCUGUGCCGCAGUUAACGCAUUAAGGAAUCCACCUGGGGAGUACGGCCGCAAGGUUAAAACUCAAAGGAAUUGACGGGG